Molecule: long non-coding RNA, 1036 nt
Organism: Zea mays
Lineage: Eukaryota; Viridiplantae; Streptophyta; Magnoliopsida; Poales; Poaceae
Exons: 4
Source: RefSeq, a predicted model, not a curated record
ACCCCUAAAAUCCGGGUGUGACACCUCUCAAGCUGACAUUGGUUCAGCAAUCAGCACAGUACCACGCUGUAAUGAGAUUGUUGGCAGCGAGUCAGCUGAUCAAUCAGGCAGUAGGUGAUGCUCUGAGUGGUUUGCUUUUAGUAGAGGCUAUUUUACAGUAUAAGGGAUGGUCAUUUCAGGAUUGGUGUGGAUUAUAUAGUGAUUUGCCCAGUAGACAACUGUGGGGAAAAGGGGUUAAUCUACUCAUUGCAUUAUGCUAUUUGAUAUCAUGAGUACUGGAUUGCCAAUCAAGUUACCAGUUAAAAUAUGCUCAUAGCACUGAGUACAGUAUGGUAGAUGAUAGGAAAUUAGAACCAGACUUCACAUCCUUUAAAAAUAGCACAGUACAUAAACAAUAUGAUGAUGAAGCGGCCAGUACUAAAACUUAUUGUUUGGGCUGUUGCUGAUAUUUAAAAAUCUCUGGUCUCACUAACUUUUUAGUUAUGUUGACAAACACAUCUUAAUUCCAUUGCACGUAAAGCGAUGUGCAGAAAUGUCACGCAAACUAAAAUUUUUCAGUGAUCAGAUCAACAGGGCAGGUUUAAGAUCUUCUGUUCGACCUGCACUUGAACCGGAUAUUGAUCUGGAGGAGCUAGAGGUGCAUUACUCAUAUUUCUUGUAACAGAAAGUUUUUAGCCCUGAUUCAUAAUGUUAACACUAUUACAUUGCUCAUAUUGAUCUGGAGGAGCUAGAGGUGCAUUACUCAUAUUUCAGUGAUUCAUAAUGUUAACCGGAAUACAUGAGGGAAAUGCCUAUCUGCUCGAACAGGGAGUGCAUCAAGGAGCACAUGGACAUUCUGGAGUGAGAUUUGUUAGUGGAAUAAUAUUAAAGUCGAAGGCACUUGCUUUUGAGCGGAUGCUUUUUCGAGCUACAAGAGGAAACAUGUUAUUCAAUCAGGCAUCUGCAGGGGAACCUGUAACUGAUCCCAUAUCUGGUGAAGAGGUAGAGAAAGCUGUUUUUGUAGUUUUCUUUUCUGGGGAACAAGCAAAAGCAAAGA